This 259-nucleotide ribosomal RNA is filed under the name uncultured bacterium. RNAcentral's name for it is "partial 16S ribosomal RNA". It matches the Rfam family "Bacterial small subunit ribosomal RNA", at positions 94 to 353 of the family's 1533-position model. The record is from RNAcentral.
ACCGGCGGACGGGUGCGUAACGCGUAUGCAACCUGCCUGACACAGGGCAUAACACUGAGAAAUUGGUACUAAUUCCCCAUAAUAUUCGGAGAGGCAUCUCUCCGGGUUGAAAACUCCGGUGGUUAUAGAUGGACAUGCGUUGUAUUAGCUAGUUGGUGAGGUAACGGCUCACCAAGGCAACGAUACAUAGGGGGACUGAGAGGUUAACCCCCCACACUGGUACUGAGACACGGACCAGACUCCUACGGGAGGCAGCAUG